UACGAAGGGGGCUAGCGUUGCUCGGAAUCACUGGGCGUAAAGCGCACGUAGGCGGCUCCUUAAGUCGGGGGUGAAAUCCUGGAGCUCAACUCCAGAACUGCCUUCGAUACUGAGGAUCUCGAGUCCGGGAGAGGUGAGUGGAACUGCGAGUGUAGAGGUGAAAUUCGUAGAUAUUCGCAAGAACACCAGUGGCGAAGGCGGCGCACUGGCCCGGUACUGACGCUGAGGUGCGAAAGCCAGGGGAGCAAACGGG
RNAcentral lists this ribosomal RNA (253 nucleotides) under uncultured bacterium. RNAcentral's name for it is "partial 16S ribosomal RNA". It matches the Rfam family "Bacterial small subunit ribosomal RNA", at positions 524 to 776 of the family's 1533-position model. The record is from RNAcentral.